Molecule: transfer RNA, 72 nt
Filed under: Camelus bactrianus (Bactrian camel)
Lineage: Eukaryota; Metazoa; Chordata; Mammalia; Artiodactyla; Camelidae
Also listed under: 2 other names
Rfam family: tRNA
About the family: Transfer RNA (tRNA) molecules are approximately 80 nucleotides in length. Their secondary structure includes four short double-helical elements and three loops (D, anti-codon, and T loops).
Source: Rfam by way of RNAcentral
GAGGGUAGAGCUCAGUGGUAGAGCGCGUGCUUAGUGUGCACAAGGUUCUGGGUUCAAUCCCUCGUACCUCCA